Molecule: ribosomal RNA, 460 nt
Filed under: uncultured bacterium
Lineage: Bacteria
Description: partial 16S ribosomal RNA
Rfam family: Bacterial small subunit ribosomal RNA
Source: RNAcentral
CCUACGGGAGGCAGCAGUGAGGAAUAUUGGUCAAUGGACGCGAGUCUGAACCAGCCAAGUAGCGUGACGGAUGACGGCCCUAUGGGUUGUAAACUUCUUUUAUGCGGGAAUAAAAUGAGUCACGUGUGACUUCUUGCAGGUACCGCAUGAAUAAGGAUCGGCUAACUCCGUGCCAGCAGCCGCGGUAAUACGGAGGGUCCGGGCGUUAUCCGGAUUUAUUGGGUUUAAAGGGAGCGCAGGCGGGUUGUUAAGUCAGUUGUGAAAGUUCGCGGCUCAACCGUAGAACUGCAGUUGAAACUGGGAGGCUUGAGUGCACGAGAGGUAGGCGGAAUUCGUGGUGUAGCGGUGAAAUGCUUAGAUAUCACGAAGAACUCCGAUUGCGAAGGCAGCCUACUGGAGCGCAACUGACGCUGAUGCUCGAAAGUGUGGGUAUCGAACAGGAUUAGAUACCCUUGUAGUC